CUCCAAGUUACGUACAUCCACACACGGAUUAGCAUUCUUUCUAGCAUUAAGCAGACUAGCUUAGCUGUACAUGAUCUGAUGAAUCAGACCGACUCUCAUCCACCCAUCUGUUCAGCCGCACACACUGUUUAUCCGACGGCUAAUCUGGGAUCUCAGGUUUGGGACACAGGGAAAGAAGGAAGGACAGGAAUAGCAUCGACUAGCCGACCUGCUAACUCCGCUAGCUUACUGAUGAGGAAGGGUCAUGGUAGUGAGUAGCUGAACUGCAGGGAUUGUGGACGUGCCUGCGAGGGUCCAAGCGGCCACUGGACCAUGUGCACGACCAUCAUGGUGCUCACCACAGUGGCCGUUAUUCUGCGUCGACGCUUUUCCAACAGAGUCAAACCGCUUCAGGAGGAGCUCUUUGAGAAGGACGUGGCGUACAUGCGGAGCGACAGCACAAAUGCGCACAAGUGAUCGCCGCUUCUUCACGUACGGGGCUGCGUAUCAGGUUUACGGUCAGCAGCAAGUCGAGGGAACAGAAACACAACAACUGGGAUGACAAGACAGCGAUGGAAAAGCGCAGCACUAUUUGACAAGGCA
Pangasianodon hypophthalmus (striped catfish) is the source of this 582-nucleotide long non-coding RNA. RefSeq lists it as uncharacterized. The record is from RefSeq and is a predicted model, not a curated record. The transcript has 3 exons. Lineage: Eukaryota; Metazoa; Chordata; Actinopteri; Siluriformes; Pangasiidae.